GAGAUGGAGUCUCGCUCUGCUUCUCAGGUUGGAGUGCAGUGGCCCGAUCUCGGCUCCCUGCAAGCUCCGCCUCCCGGGUUCACGCCAUUCUCCUGCCUCAGCCUCCUGAGUAGCUGGGACUGCAGGCGCCCGCCACCACGCCCGGUUUAUUUUUUUGUAUUUUUAAUGGAGACGGGGUUUCGCCGUGUUAGCCAGGAUGGUGUCGAUCUCCUGACCUCGUGAUCCAUCCGCCUCGGCCUCCCAAAGUGCUGGGAUUACAGGCAUGAGCCACCGCGCUCGGCCUGGAAUUUCUUAGUCUUGCCCUUGAGAGUUCUCAUUUCUGAUUUCAGGAAUGAUGUUAUCACUCUCUUAACUUGUAUCGAAUUAGUCAUGUAACUUCUGUAGGUCUAUUUCAUCUGUAAGUAGAAGAUAGGAUGGUGGGUGGUCCUUUUUCCCUAAAAUAUCCAUGGGAUAAAAUAAAAUGGUAAGGCUUAUUAGAAUGCUUCUGCUUGCAAGUUGAGCUUUUCAAAAAAACUGAAUAGGUAGUUGAUGUUGUAAGAAUUUUUACGUUUCUUCCUUCGUUAAGAGCUAAGGCUCAGUAUUGCAUGUGGUAAUAGCAUAUUUUAAAAAGACGAAAUAGAUUAGACUAUCUUUUUGUGAUGGCUUAAAGAGAAAGUGACAUAAUGAAGAUGUUUUGCAUGAUUUGAAACCAUUAAGGAGUCUGAUAUAUUUUUAUCAUAUUUCUCUAUUAUUAAGGAUAGUAAUACGUUUUGUUCCUAAUAAAUGAUUUUAGGAUUUGGUAUAGUUUUUUAUCUCAGCUUUUUUUUAAUGUUUAUAUUAAAUACUUUUGAGAUUCAGAGCUUUAGGCCCAUAGCAGUGUUACCUUGUAUCAAGGCAGUUUCAACUUUUCUUCAUUUAUAAAGCAGAAGUGUAUACCUUGAGUGUAGAAUUCUCAGUGUCCCCAUUUUACUCCUUUUUUUUUCUUAUGGCUGAAUUUAUUUAUGUAAAAUUAUUACAAUUUAUUAUAAAGUUCAACAUUAAAUUGUAUUUAGUUCUACAUUAAUGAAAUGAUCUUUACUGGGCUUAAUAAACACACAAAUAGAAAAGUACCAAUUGCAGUAAUAAAAAUAUAUAUGCAUGAAUGAAAAUCAAAGAGGAAAAGUAGAGGGCAAAGGAGUCGUAAAAGCAUGAUUUCAAACCUUUCCUCUAUGUCACACUGGAAAAGUUACUUCACUUCUCCGUGCCUCAUUUCUUCAUGUGUUGAAAAGGAUAAAAAUAAUACCUACCUUUCAGAGUUAUUGUGAGGAUUAAAUGAGGUAAUGCACAUAAAACUUAUUGCACACUGUCUAGAUUUGUAUAAGCACCCAAUACAUUUUAUUAUUUGUGUUAAUUUUUCAUCAAUUUGUUGUUGAAGCUGAUACCUUUUCCUAAGUGGGUCUUUAAAUUGUUCUGCUAUUUUUCUGCAGUUCCCAAAAGACUAGCUUCAUUAAAUCAUUAAUUUUAUAAUUCACUAUUUAUUUGUUAGCACUAGAUGUCUGCAGGGUGCAGGGGAUAUGGAGCAUAACAUGGCAGAAAGAGCCUCUGGCUUUAUGGCACAUGCAAAAUCAUGGAAAUAAAGAGGAAUUAAGCAAUGUAUCCCUCAUUAAUUAGUUAUAGUUAAAAUUGUGCUGAUUCAUGUGUAAAGAAGUGGUCUGCAUUGCAUAGUACCCAUUUUGACUAUACUAUGCUGUACUCUAAUUAGAUUAUAAGGAUAUGGAGGACCUAAAUGAGAUGGUGAUCAUUGGUUAAAUGACCUCAUCUAAACUUUGUUACUGUUUUUUACUGAUCUACCUGUAUAAGAUAUGGUUGCAAUUAUUCUGUAUCCAGUUGUUUAAUCUGGAUUUAUUUUUUACCUGAAAGUUAAAAGCCAUUCUCUGAAGACCUGUAACGACAGACAUAGUCUUUCUUUUUCCCCAAUGCACAUUUUCCCCUGAAUCAAUUAUUUUUAGAACUUUAAGAAAACUGCUUAUUUUAAAAGUGACAAUUUAAGAAAACAGUGUCACUAUUGCAAAGAAUUACUGUGACAGAGGCUGGAAUAUGAGCUCAGAGACCUUUAUCCUAAGUUAACUUCUCUCAUGCUGAAUAUAAUAGUUUUAUAAACGUGUAUUAAUAAUUAGGGACUAUAAUUAAAUAACAUUUAGCAAAUGUAUUGGAUAUUAUGAGAAAAACAUACAAUUGACAUGCAUAAUAAAAUAGUAUAGUUUUCAAGAACAUUUUGAAGCCAGGUUUUCUGAAAGCACCUGUAGAUGUGUAUGAACUAGGACUCAGUGUGUCUUUAUAUUUGGCCUGUGAGAACUUGCCCUUCAAAGUUUUAUUGAUAACUUCUUCAGAAAGCAAGUUUUGAAGGGUUCUUCUUAAUUACUGGAUAGAAAAGUGCUUCCAGACAACUUUAAAUAUGUUUAUUUAUCCAUAGCUAAAAUUUGUUGGGUGAACUCAUAAAUAUUUAACAUGUGUUUAUGUAUCUUAAUUUGGGUCUUUAUUGCCGUUAAAUAUAUGUUGUUUCAAUGUGGGAGCCACCCUUUAAUUUUACAGUUUGAUAUAAUAGUGACCAGAAACAUUUUAAAUGCACAGGUUUAUUUUGUUCUUUCAUUUUUAAUAGUUUCCUGAUUAAAAAUUUAUUGCUUCUUACUAAAGCAUUAUGUAUCUUUAUGUUUUUAAACUGAAACUGGGUCUUCCAGAUUUUCUCUGGAGGAAAUACAGAAAAGUUGGUCUUAUAUUUCUUAAGGCCAGAAAAAGAAGUGUGUGUGUAGGGGAUGGUGUUGUUUAACUGAUAUCCAGUUUCAUUCCUGAGCUAAGCUUGCUUCAUUCUUAAGGAGCCCAAGUCCUUUCUCUGGGACCCCCAGUGAACAGUCAAAAUGUUCUCCUUUCAGUGACUCAACUCCAGCUCCUUAAGUUCUCUGGAUUUGUUUCCAUAUCUGUUUUCUUUCCUGGCCCAUGGUCAGCAUGAAAAUCCAGUAAUAUUUCCCUUGUCUUCUUUAAUAUCUUUUCCAUCACUGCUUUCUACCUUCUUGUUCUCUGAAUUCUUUUGCUAAAAGCUCUCAAGUUCUCAUUUUUCCGUAACAGCUCUCAGAGUAUUCCCCACUCCCAAAUCUUUGUCUCCCCCAAAAUUACCAUAUAGAAUUUAUGAUGAUUCAUCUUGGGUUACCUGAGUCACUUUGCCCAACUUAAAUUUAAUUCUCUAUUGUUUUUUUUUCAGUUCAAAUAUUAACAUAAACAUUAACAUUUCUAAACAGUUACAAUUAUCCUGCCUUCCAUCAGACAUUAGCACAGUCCUUUCUCCUAGCAUUAUGAGGGGGUGUCUUAGAAUCUAUAGUUAUCCAAUUGGCUGUGAUUAAUGACUACUUUUUAAAAGAAAACACUGUGGGUUUAUUUUAGCUGCUGGCCUUGAACUCCUGGACUCAAGCGAUCCUUCCUCCUCGGCCUCCCAAAGUGCUGGGAUUAUAGAGAUGAGGUGUCACUAUGUUGCCCAGGCUGUUCUUGAACUCUGGCCUCAAGUCAUCCUCCUGUUUCGGCCUCCCAAAGUGCUGGAAUUACAAGUGUGAGCCACUGUAAGGUUGUGCUUCUGUGCAUUUCCUUAGCAACUGCACUUCCCUUGCUGCAGUGCUUCUCAGGGCUUUUUGUAACGGUCUAUUUACUUGCUUUAUUUCCCAUAAAUAAAUAAGACGUCGAGGGGUGGUAUCAAUGUUCUUCAUUUUAUCCUUUGGGUCCAACCAGCCUCCCGGCACGUGAAAUUUUACCUUCCUCUGAUUUUUAAGACCAUGGUUUGCCCUACUUUUCUACCAUUAUACUACUCUUUUUUCUCUUCUUUCUGCCUUAGUAGAUUAAUAAAGAAGGUAAUAAGUCCUAUGUAGGAAAGAAGAAGAAAAGCAGUAUGAGGGGACUGAGAUUGAGUGGGAGGCAUAGAAGGCAGCUUGUUCUAUUAAACAGGCAGUCGAGGAGGCUUCAUUGAGAAGGUGACAUUUGAACAAAGAGUUGAAGGAUGUCAAUAUAUACAGGGUAGUUAAAUACAAACAUGUUAACAGCACAUUUAAGGAAAUGGAUAAAUGAAAUAAAUGUAUACAUGGAAAAGGCAUGAAUAAGGAAAUAAAAGUGGUGUGUGUGUGUAGUGCGUGUGUGUGUGUUCUACAAGUUUUUAGGAAGACUUAAGAAUUCUGAGGAUUAAAGCUAGAAAGCUGAUUGAUUUUGAAUUUUUCAAACUGAUUAAUGUCUUCAUUUGAAUGAUCUUCUUUAUGAGAGAGGUUUAAAAUUAUUAAAAUACUUAUUCACUGUGGUACUACAUUUUAACAAAUUGAGGAUUCACUUAAGAUACAAAUAUUUUGAACUCCCUUAUACUCUCUGUUAUCUCUAUAAGGUUCUGUUUUCGAGGUUUAUCUAAAUACUUCAUAGUGAAACUUAAACAUUAGUUUUAUUAAAGGGUAAAUUCUAAUGUGUGGUGUGUGUGUGUGUGUGUGUGUGUGUGUGUGUGUAUGCACGUGUGUAUUUCUCUGGACAUGUCCACAGUCUUGGUUUCUGGAUUGUGCUUACAGCAGUAAUACCCACUGUAUAUCCAAAGUUAUUUUGAGCAUCAACCUAAAAUUGAUGAGCCCCAAUUACAGACAGUCAGUGGAGUUAAGACUUGGAGUUUUCCUUCAGGCAAACCUAGAUUGAAAUUAUGAUGUUCCCACCUCCUAGAGCAAAUUAUUUAACCACUUACUUUUCAAUGUCCUCAUCUGUAAAAUGAAGAUUCUAAUAGAAUUAUUUGAAGGUUAAAACAUAUUUCACAUAAAGCACGUGGUGUCCAUUAAAUAAUGAGGGAUUAUUAUAGUUAAAAACACUAUGUAUUUGAAGUAAUACACAUUCCUGUAUAUGGCCUACAUUAAAAAAAACUUAUUUUAGCUGAUUUAUGACAUGAAAAUUAUUAGAGACCUACAGAAUAAUUAAAGCUUUUUAAAAUAAAUAAGUUCUCUUAUUCCGGAGCUGCAGGCUUUUUAGACACUCUUGUGGGCAUUAUGUAAGUUUCUACCUACUCUCCAGAAAGACAUUUGUGUCUCUGGUCUAGCCCUUCUUCAUAGUUACUCCUUCAAGGAAUCCUUAUAGAUAGAUUGGUUGUCCUUACUAAAACUACCACCAAGCACUGGCUGUUUUAAUUUUUUGUUUUAAAUGGUUUCUAUAACAAAUGGUGGUGGUUAGGAGAGUCAAAGCAUGAAUGAUGAAAUGUACAUCUAAACUUGGGGCAGUUUGUCUAUGUGAACAAUGUAGGCUGUAUUUUUAGGGCUGUGAAGGUAGACAGUGGGGUGAUAUUUUAUAGAGAUGCUAAAUAUGUGGUUGACUGCUUAAUGUGUAUCAAACUUCAGCAUGAUGAAACUUUAGCCAUUAGUAUUCAAAGAGGAAAUUACUGCUGAUCCCUAGUGCCUGGAGAGACUUCGUCCUAUAUAGAAUUCCCCCUCCCCACUCCACUGAUGGCUAUUAAAAUAGCCCUAAAGUAAAUGCAUUUGCAUUUGUUACUAUGGAUGUUACUCUCCCAGGAGACAACAAACAGAACACUUAAACUCUGAGUGAACAGAAUGAUUGACAGUCUAAAUCUCUAUCCCCACUGCUUGCUGCCUCCCCACUUAAAUACAAACACAGAGAAGGAGUAACAAAAUGAGUCAAGGUAAAACAAAAUAUGGCAUUGAAAUGAGUUAUGUUAGAAUUAGAAAAUAGUUAAGAAAUAGAUUAUUGAGAAAGAAUUGGCUAUGAUGUUUAAGUUCAUCAACCUAAAUGUUUACUUGAGUGUACAUUUAGUUCACUAUUAGAGGCCAUUGAUUAUUUGGCAAUAACUUCGGUUUUCAGACCUACCUCAUUGGGAUUGUCUUAGUCCAUUUGUUCUGCUUUACAAAAUAUCUGAGAGUAGGUGGUUCAUAAAAAUAAACUUAUUGCUCGCAGUUCUGGAGGCUGGGAAAUUUAACAUCAAGGCAUGAGAAGAUUUGGUGUCUGAUGAAAAAACUGUGUGUAUAUAUAUGUAUCUUUUACACACACAUACAUAUAAAACAUUGUGCAGAUUUAUAGCGAAGGUAUAAAUCUUUUAUAAUUCCUAGGAAGCAUCAGAACAAUAUAAUAAAUGGCUGAAUAAAGCAGAUAUAGCUCAUUUGGGCCUUAAAAAUAGAAAUAAUUUAGAGAUUAGAUGAAUAAAGAGAUAGGAUGAUUUGAUAAAGGUUUCUGCAUGAGAGAGAGACUUAGAGUUUCCUCUAGCAGUAUUUUUCUAAAGAGAAACUUGCCUAAAUUUUAAAAGAUAUAUUCUUGUAAUACUUAAAUAAGGCCUUUUUGGUUCUAAUGUUGGCUUUUCUUUAAAGCCAUCAUUUUGUUUGGAAGAAAAACUACUUAAUGUCCAUUUUAGUCCCUCUUCCUUCAAAGACAUUUAAAAGGAAGUCAUGUUUGUACUAGUGGACCUCUUGGGCAAAUAAUAUUAAAAAGAUAUUGUGUUUGAUUUGUGAAUGAAACCCAGGGUUGAUUUUAAUACGGUCAUCAUAAAAUAAGUUAAAGGACAUUAUUUCAUUGUGCAAUCUAAUAAACCUAACCACACUAUUAAGAUUCAGUUAAAUUCAAUUUUACUUUACUACUAAAAAUAUUUUCAUGAAAUACUAUCCUUAGAUUUAAGAAACGUUUCUAUAGUGAUGGUUAAUUUGUAUUGGCAAUUGUAAAUAAAGUUGUUUGAUAGAAUGCAAAGACUAGGAUCAUAUGUUGCUAUCGGGUCUACCUAACUUUCCCUAUCUGUCAUAUUUUAUAGAGGAAAUAUUUGUAGGUUAUGGACUUCAGUGUGAGACCUUUGGCUGUGAAAGUUUAUUAGCUGACUCCAGUUACACUGAUUUAUGCAGUAGUAAAUAUGAUGAAAGGGGAGGGAUUGUGUUUUACUGGCAGCUCCCUUUCUCAUCUAUCAUGCUCUUUGUAUUUGCAUGUGCUAUUCUUUUCCUGAAAUACAUUUAAAAAAUUUCUUCUCCAGAUAAAGCCUAGUCAUCCUUCAAGACAAGUCUGGAAUGCUACGUCAAUUUAUGAAGCUUUAUAGUCUGCCACUUCCUCCUGUCCAUCGUCCUCAUGUCUUGGCCCCAGCAGAGUUAGUUUCUUUCUUUCGUGUACAACACAAGAGGCAUUGUCAUUAUUGUUUAUGCCUUUCUCUCCCACAUGCAAUUACUGGAGGCCAUGUCCUUGCCUCAUUAAUUGUUGUCUUGCCCAGUACUUGGCACAUGGUUGGCAUUAGUUUAGACAGACCAAGAUAUAUGUGAUAAUUCUUGUAAUGUAGAUUCUAUAAACAUACUUAGCUCUUUUCUGAAAGUUCUUGGGGCAUUCACUUUUUGACAGCACAAAUUGUAAAUCUUGGAUAAAAUCAUUAUCUGCAUUGGUUGUGAUGGUAGUUAGACACAUUUCAAAGGGUUUGUUUUUCAACUUAUUUCCCAUGUAUUGCCACAAUUCAAAGUUGCCCAUCUCUCCUCACCCCGAAUGGUAAUUAGAUAUUGACUCUUUUCAGGCAAAUUUCAGUCAGUUUUAGGGUUUUCUAAUUAAACAACGGAAGGAUACUUGUGAUAGCAUUUACAUUCUGUAGUUUUGUAUUCUACAUAUUUUACAUUAAAAUAUAUGAUUGCCUUUUCCUACCCCUGUAUAAUUUAGGUUUAUGAGAAAUUGUUAUUUUCCUUUCUUAGAUAUUAAAAUGAUACUCAAAGGAUGCAAACAGAAUUAUGAAGUUUAGACAAUUAGAGUCUUCGUGUCUAUCUUUAAAUUCAUGCAUUCAGUCUGGAAAUGAAGUACGGGUUUUUUUGCAGGAUGAAAUAGAAAUUACAGUGAAGUGGACUGUUAGGAAUAAAUGGAUUUCUUUUUCUUUUUUGAAGCUUUCAACAUUGUGUUCGGCAAAAUCUUUCAGUAAAGGUAACACAUUCAUAAGGAUUAACUGUGUCCAACAGUGUUUAUCAGAAAACCCAACAUAUUAGGGGCCUAGACAGUACAGAAAUACAUUUCUCUGUCUUGGAAAAAGAAGUUUAGCAGUAAGUGAUGCAUGGCUCUAUGUUGUCUUCAUGAUCUGGAGAGACCAAAGCUCCUGCCUCACCCUCCUCCUCCUCCUCCUCCUGCAUUUUGACUCUGGCGUUCAUUCUCUGGAUCACCUCACAUUAAAGAUGGCUUCUGGUGCUACACCUACCUCAUCUACAUUCCAUAUUGCAUGAAGGAAACAAAGGAAACAAACAGAGUGACAAAAGGAAUGCAUUUUCCAGCUAAUCAGCAGCUUUCUAGGAAAUUCCACACAACGCUCAUGUAUCAUUAGCUUGAAUUUAAUCACAUGGCCACACCUAGCUGAAAACGUUGGGAAACGUAGUCUUUUAACUGAGUGUAUUGCCCCAUAAAUAAAAUUGAAAAGGAGAGAAUGGAUACUAUGCACGAUUAGCAGUCACUGUUAUUUUCAAUUUCCUCAUCUUUAAAAUGAGCAAGUGAGUGGCUUUCUCAUGGUAGUUUUAUGAGGAUUAAGGGGGAUACUGCGUAAAUGAUUCUUAGGCCUGGAACAUAGUAAACAUUAACAUAGUUCCCUUUCUAAUUCUCAUUUCCCUUACCAUUACUGUAACAUUAAAGCAGCGGGAAGUCUCAAGGCUUUAUGGACUCUUAUGAUGAUCCACAUUAACUUGUGAAUUAUUUCACUUUCGGGACUAAUAUGUGCUUUGUUUUGCAAUUGGUGUCUCCUUGCAUUGUCUCCCUUCUAUAAUGCCUUACUCAGUGUUGGGAUGUUAAAUGGGAGUGUUAUAAUAAAAUCAUAAAUAUGAAGCCUUAACAGUAUAUCUGGAGCAAGAGAUCAUUAAAAUUAUUUUAUUACUACCGUUUCUAUUAUGGAAAUUAACUUAGAAAACUAGAUAAUUUAACUAGAGUGAUAGUCCAUUUAUAUGUUGCUGUAUAAAAAACUUCCCAAAUCUAAUGGCAUAAAACAACUACUGUUUUAUUAUGCUCACAAAUUAUGUGGCAGAAUUUGGACAGGGCAGUGAAGGGGCUGUAGUUGUAAUUGUGUUUCAGUUGUAAAUGUCUCAUUAACUUUAUAAAUUGAUUCCUGUUAUUUGUUUGGAAGUGAAAGCACAAUAAUAUCAAAUUCAGCUAAUAGCUCGCUUUGUCAGAUCACUGUAUUUUAGAUCGUUUCUGAUUUCGUUUGUCUCAAAUUAGAUGAACUUUUUUUUUUUUUUAAGUCCCGUAUCAUCCCUGCUGUUGACCCAGUGCACACCACAGCACCAAUGGCUUCCUUCAUUCUUAUGUCUUUUAAUUUUUUUUCAAGAUCAAAAUGUGGUAUUUCUAUUAAAUCCAUAUUCCCAAGUCUAUCACUGACACAUUUGCCCUCCUAUGAAUAAUAUCACUGUAGUCUGUGAUAGAUCACAAUGUCAAGAAACUGAUCUUGUUUCAAUUUUUAACUCUGUUGAAAGAAAUAAAAAAUUCCAUUUGCUUCCAAGUUGUGGAGAGAAGAAAGAAGACAAUUAUUCAAAACAAUAGCUUUAACAUAAUAUUUAUUUAUGGUUUCUAAUUAGUUCUGUUGAUUAUUAUUCUUAAAACCACAAUAAUCCUUUGGUAGCAAGUAUAUGUUGUGUGGGCCAGUGAACCUAUUUGUUUAAGUCCAUAGACAAGAUGUGUAUUUAAGAAGAUUAGGGUUCUUUGAACAUAGUAUUAGACAUACUAAAUAGGUAGCUCAGGAAGACAUUAAAUGUAUUUUAUUAGUGCAGUUUUUAAAGACAAAGAUAAAUAUUAAAAUUCAACUCCCCCCAAAACCCAAUAUGGAUGUGUUUUGGUAGAUAUGAUGAGUAACAGUUGAAAGUAAAAAUCAAAUAAGAUAUGAUAAUUAAUGUUAAUAUGGUAUCAGUGAUCAUCUGUAGUCAGUUUAUACAAACUUAUUAAAGAUUAUUUCACUUCAUACCAUUUUUCAAUUUAUUUCGCUUAAUUGAAUUAGAGGUGUGUGUGUGUGUGUGUGUGUGUGUCUGUGCGUGUGCGCACGCGCACACCCCAUGCUUUAGGAAGGAGGCACAGCAGUUUUGGGGAAAAUGUGUGUGUGGCCCCAGCUGCCUGAUUUUUCUCUGAGAGUCAGAAGUGGUGUCUGAGUACAUACAGGGUGGUUCUAAGAGUUAAAUUUCACUCUUUUUUAAAAAAAUUGGGCAACAUUUGCUUUCAGAUUCUCCAGACACUGUAUUAGCAUUCGUCAUUCUCGUAUCUUUUACUCACCCGGGCUGCUUCUUACCUGGGCCAGUAACCGGAACUUCUCUGGUCUCUUAUUAUCAUUUUCUCUCUUUUGGGCCCUCCUUUUAUCUUAAUCGUAUUUAUUCUAUCAUAGUCAUUGUUAAGAGCGUUUAUCUUAACAGAAAAAAGAAAAAGAAAACAGGAGCUGAGGACUUAUGCUCUCUCUCUCUAAUUUUGUUCUACUUUAUACAAUUCUACCAACUUACCACGGAAUCACAGACUCCUUAUCCUUUUUAUCAAAUAAUUUGAAUUAUGUGGAACCAAUUCUUAUUUUUGUUAUUUGAUGCACUACAGCCACUCUUUAAAAACUGCUGUAACUCAACCAGAGAAGGAUAUAUCUUUAAAAAUGUUUCUGGACCAGCCACCAGUUUCUUAUCUCUCAAGUGGUAGUACUGGGGAAGAUUUGCAAAAUAGCCCCCAGAAAAUUAGGAUCUGUGCAUAUUUAUAAGAGGUUAAUUUUGAUUUCCUUUGUAAUAACGGGAAAUUAUUUUGAGAUAGGCUUGUUGGUAUCCUUGAUUAUCUGUGUGGUGUCUGCAUGAAAGAGGAAACAAGUAGAUUUUCAGGAAGUUUUCUUAAUAGUUCAAUGCAAUCAGACUGGCCAAUAUUGAGAAUUACUGCGCCAUAAAUAAUUGUGGUUGGUUUCUAACUUUGAUUUUAUUCAGCCUAAUAACAAGUAUUGCUCUAUAGAUAAUUGUUGACGGUUGCAGACUCUGAUUUCGUUCAAUUAAGCUGGUAACCUUUUUAAGAAACUGCUUGGGAGAAAGCCAAGAAUUCCAGUGAACUGAUUUCUAGGGGGACUGAAUUGAAAUUGUGUUAGCUUCAAAAAUGUUUCAUGUAGGUCCAGCUGUGUUAAUUAACCUUUUCCUUAAACUACCCUCUCCACAAUUGGAACCCCAAAUCGGCAAACAUAGCAAAGGACCAUUUUAUCUAGAUUUAGGUUUUUCUCAAAGUGAUUAUAAACUUGGAAAGACAUUAUAAAAUAGGUUUUUGACAUAUAGUUUUUUAUCCACCCCUUGAUAGCAACAGUUACUUCCUAUAUCCCUGGGACAACUAAGCGGAGGACAGUAGUUAACUAAAGUGGCUUUGAACAGUGGCAGAAAAAUGUGCUGGGAAUACCUUAUAUUCUAAGCAACCUCCAAUUUCUAGAAGAUAUCUGUCUCAAAUUGGAGUUAGGAUGCAAAAUGCAAAAUUUAUCUCAAGAGGAAUAGUUAUCUUUUAUUUGCUGAUUAAGCUAACCAAAUAUACAUCUUAUUAUUUUGUUUUGUUUUAGCCCAGGGUCUAAUAAAGUUGUAUAAGAAUUUCUUGGGCCUCAGCCAUUUAUUUGAGGUAAAUACUGUGGUUUGAGAAAAAUUUUCAUGUAACUUAAUUUCCUGAGGAAAUGAUCUAUGAAAUAUUUAACAUCUAGUUGCUAGCAUACUUUUUAGUGCUAAUAACCAACUCCAAAGAGAAAGAAAUGGCAUUCUUUUUCAUUUUAUUCCAGUGGUGUGUGGCAUGUUAAAAUAUGACACAUAUUUGGAAAAAUACAUUAUAUAAAAUUAAAUGUUAAACCUGUAAUGCAUCAUUUGAUUGAUUGAGCAAGAUAAUUUCUUGAGAAACAUUGCUACUAGAUUAUGGAAAAUAUAUGAUCAAGUUGUUAAGAUGGCAAAAACCUACAUUAAUUCUUUAAAACUAGGGACAUUUAUGUAUUUGGAGAGCACUAUUGGGAAAAUAAGUAAUUGCGUCAACUCAUUCAUCAUUUGCCCUUUAUACUUAGAGCUUUAAGAAGAGAAUGAUAAAGAAACUUGAGACCAAGAGAAAUUAAAUGGCAUGCUCAAAGUUACAUGUCAAAUGGUUGCUACAGAAACCAGCUCCUCUAAUUUAGUUCUCUUUCCAAAUAGCAUGGCAAAGACAUUUGUUACUAUAUAUAAAAAACAAUACUUGUUUAAAUGUAUUUAUUAAUAGACAUACUGAUUUGUUUUCAUACCCCAAUUUACUUAGAGGUAUCAUAAUACAAUACAUAAUGAUUUAAACCUGUGGGACAUGCAAAAAGGAAUCAUGUUUAAAGGUCAGAAUACAUAAAGGUUAAAUGUCAGAGGCCCAGAAAUAAGAGGUACAGCUUUUAAGCCUAAACUUUAAAUUGUAGGCUCUGUAAGUGCCAGGACCAUGUUUUCUAGGUUUUCAUAAAAGUAAACCUUAAAGGUCCGAGAACUCACAGAAUAUUGUUGCCUGAAUAAUUAAAUAUUCCAAAGAAGGUGAGAAUUUCAGAGAAUUUUACUUGUUACUAACACCAGUAUUUCCCACACUGGAAUAAUACUAUUUGUUUACUUUUCAGUUAACACUCUUAAUAUGAAAAAAACCUGCUUAUUUGAAAUUAGACAUUUCCUGAAGCAUAUCUGUCUAGUCAAAAAAGGUCCUAAUCAUAUUAGGAGAGUGGCAAUUAUAGUAGUUUAGACUUUGCGUAUAACAUAGCGAUACAUUAGAGGAAAGAAGUAUAAAAUGCCGAGGCAGGAAAUUAUUGUUAUCAGAAGUAUAUUUAUACUACUGUGGCCAUUAGGCAGACUAAACAUAAGAAUGACCAAGAAAUGGAAAAUAUCCUCACACCUGCCAUUUAUAACAGCUAAUACAUAUGGAGUCUACUGCUUGCCAUGCCCAAAGCACCUGAUUUUCUCUUUAUGACUUUACUGAUCAGUUUUUGCAUUGUCUGUAAUCAUGUUGAGACUUCAUUUUGGAAGACCUGAUACUGUUGUUUUCUAAGUUCAAAUAGAAAAGGGUAAUAUUCAUAUGGCACUUUUGUACUUUGGAAAACUCUGUCUCAUAAUAAGCUGAGGAAACCUGUGGUUACAGGAAAGAAGAGUAAACAGUAUCAGUUAUUGAGAGCCUCCUAUAUGAGAGGCAUGUGAGACACCUUCCCUUAGAAAAUGGUAAAGGAAGGUAUUAGUGUUCUUAAAAAAAUAAUAGUAACAGGGAAAUCUAGCUAUGAAGUGGCAGAAUUCAAAUCUAGGUCUUCAGAGUUGAAGUCAGGCCUAUAGACUCAAGUGACUUCCGGGGCCAGGGAGGAAAAAUGAAAUUGUGAAAUUUAUAUGUCUUGUAAAUCUUUGCUCUUCACAGUUGUAUAGCAUUGAAUGUCUAAGGCCUUGCUCUUCAAGACUUGACAGAAAUGACUGUUACCGUGUUUUUCAAAUGUCUCAUCUCACAUGAGGUUAUGCAUUAUAGCAUUAAGAACUAUAACUCCCCUAGAGCUAUUUGUGGCUUAGAAUAAGAGUUUUGUUAAGAUUUCUUAGUACUUUAGACCUUAAAUGGAAAAAAUUGCAAAGUGAAAUCUAUCUUAUGGUACAUAGUGCUUUUAUACACACAUCAAUGUGAAGUAGUUCUUUAUGAGAUUGAUUUUGUAGCAUUGAACAACAACAACAAAAAGUAAAUUACUGAAGGCUGAGACAGGGGAUGAUGAUAAAACCUAGGUGAAUCCAUAUACAACAUAAUAAAUGAGCAAAGGAUUGAGAAACCUUAAAGUGCAUAUGUAGCAAUAUCAGAGGAAGAAGCUGCUGUACUUUGAAUAGCUUUGAAAUCUCAGAGUGUCCUGCAUAGUCGAUCUAGUCUGAAAAGUUUGUUUCUCUAUGUUCUUUGAAAAUUUGAAUUAGAUUGCUUUAGAGGGAGCAUGCAUGUUUCAGUUUGGCAUAGAUGUUGCCACUUGCUAUUACUUCUUCUCAACCCACUUGACCCAUUUAUAUAACCUGCCUGGUCCCUGUAGGCCUUUAAGUGUGAACCAUGUCUAGACAGAUCAAGACUGGGCAUUUGGUUACUUACAUAUCUAAAAUAAAAGUGAUGUCUGUUGGCCUCAGGGGAGACCCUGUUGAAUCUAUUUAUUCUCUUAAAAAUAAAAGUAGAAAACUAAAUAAAGAUUAAAGAAGUAGACAUUUGUGAAUCAACUUUUAUUUUAUUAUUUUUUCCAAGCAUUAGAGCUCAGACUCUGUAGCACAGGCCAAAGAAAGGCGUUAGUGAAAAGACAAUAAGCUGGCAUCAGAGUUCAUGAUAUAAGGGUGCAGGCCCAAAACAGAAAGACGGGAGAGUUAUUCUGGUGAAAUGAAGAGUAAGUACCUAGGUGCAAAGGCUGCUAGACAGAAGAAGUUGAUUAUCUUACUCUGAAAACCAAUCCAUUAAAUAAAGGUCAUGCUGCUGGGGAGAAAGGAAUAUAUUAUAGUUUCCUCAACAUCUUUAGUAUGUUGACAUCCUCAACAAAGAAGGCUCUUUCCCCAUCAUUACUCUAGUGCUUCCCUGACAAACCCCAUUAGAGACAUGCAGCUAAGAUCUAAAAAUAUUUCUUUUUUCCUCAAGGGAAUUUUCUCCUCAAAUCAAAACCCUGGAGUUUUGAGCAAAAAUAAUUAAUGAGCUAGUAACAAAUUGAAUUUUAGCUUUUAGAAAACGACUAAAACGUUUUCUAUGCUAUUUCUAGUAGUAGUCUCAGUGUUGAAAAUCAGAAACAUGACAUCAGAUUCCAAAAUAUCUUAGCAAACAUUGCAGUACUAUUUCUUUUUCUUUUCUUUCUUUCUUUUUUGAGACGGAGUCUCACUCUGUUGCUCAGGCUGGAGUGCUGUGGCAUGAUCUCAGCUCACUGUGAUCUCCACCUCCCGGGUUCAAAUGCCUUAUCGCCAUGAAGCAAAUGCAGGAGAGAUUAGGGCAAAGUAAAUCAGUAGAAUUUCGUUAUUAGAUCCAGGAUGUUAGCUGGCCUUGACUGAGCAUUAGUUGCUUGUCCCGUUAAAAUCUUCUUGAGCAGUAUUCUAUUUCUUUUAUUUAGACAAAACCAUAACAUUGAUUUGGAAAAGAACAUUUUAAAAUUGGAAGUAUUAUAUUUAAAAAUAGUUUUUAAAGUUUAGAAAGUCUUUUCAGUUUAUCUCAUCAACAUCAUCUUUCUAGAUUCACCAAUGUGAAUAUACCUUCCAAACCACCCAUUUUGUUUCUCUGUACUGGUAGGGCACUUGGCUCUGUCUCUAGCUCCUCUAGCUGUGGGAACUAUAUCUAACUUGUCUUUCAUUUGGCUAUCAAGAUUCUGUAUAGAAUGACUUCUGAUUUUCCUUUCUGCUAAUAGGGAAUAUUGUCAUAAAAUUAAAUAUAAUAAAAUAAAAACUGAUAACUUCAGUCUCCUCUAAUCAUUCAUUGAGAUGAAGCUGAGAAUACUAAUUUGCAUAUUUUCAAGUUCUAAGGAGGCUUCAUGAGUAGUCUGUAAAGAAUGCUAUUUAUAUGCUUUCAUUCUUUCUCUAAAGUAUGGCAACUGAUAAUAGAAUUUUCAGCUAAAGAAGAUUGAAAAAGAUACCUUACAAACAACUGCCCAAACAUGCAUUAAUUUGCAGUCAUAUAAGUGAGAGAGGCCUUCUAAGGAUCUUUUUAUUCAUAAUACUACAUCCAGCCAGUGUAUUGGAAAAAAUGAAAUUGAACACCAUAACUGGAACAGUAUCUAAUACAAUUCUUAUGGACAUCCCCCAAGCCCAGUUCUGUUGGGAGAGGGGCAUUUUCACUGAGAAAACUGUUUUAUGCUUUCUCCUUGUCAUGUUCCUCCCCUCACUAAAUAACAUCCCUUACUCUCUCCCUAAGGUUGGGCAAAUUUAAAUAAAUACAAAAGCCAAAGUAGGGAUUCUGGCGUAAUAUAAGGAGAUAGUAAGAGGACACUAAAGGCAGAAUGUCUAGGCAGAAAACCUGGCUCACUACUUACAAGCUGUGUGACCCUGGGCCACUGGUUCCUCAGGUUACUCUUCUAUACAAUGGCUGUUAUGAAGGUUAAACAAAAUUACCCAUGUAAAUCUGUAGCAUAGUGCUUAAAUUAUGGUAAGCACUUAGUAGCUCUUAGCACUUGUCAUUAUAAUUUGAUUUGUGAAUCUUAUGGAAGAGAUACUUAAACGUAAAGUUGUAUCUUGAAAAAUGGAAAACAAAUAAACAGAACAUACCUCCCCUAUGAAGGAAGUAUUGUGGGUCUUUGUGUGUCCACUAGCUAUUAGAUCAUAGGUACAGAAAGCUUUGAACAUAUACUAGGCUCCAUAAUUGUAUCUGGAUCAUUGAAUUAUGUUGAUUAGUACCACAUUUUGAACCUAUCCACACGAAUCAGCCACAGCUUUUAUAAUCUUUAUGAAAUUUAUCUGAGAUUAAUUUAGAGUUGAUGACCUAUUGGACUUGGCAUUCAUAUAUUAUCAGAACAUAUGGUUAGGUUGAUUAAUAAAUUAAAAUACUUAUGAAAUUUAGCAUUCUAAUUUAUUACAUUGUCAUAUCAUUACAAACUUAAUGUAGUGGCUUAUAUUCUAUCUUUCUCACUAUUUCUCUAUGUUUAAGCACAUGUGCACACACAAUGGGCUGAAGUAUAAAAUAUCCUUGGAAAGACAGUAAAUUUAAUUUUGUGUGUUUACUUCAAUGGGAAAGUAUUCUAAAUGUGAUGAUAAAAAUGAGUAUAAUAACAAAACAAUCUCUGGGAGUUUUGAGGCUAUAGUUGUGAAACUAGUAAUAUUAACUACAACUUAUAUGAAAGAGACUGAUAGUGUCUGGGAACCAGAUUAUUGUUCAGCUAGUCCCACCUAUAGCUAGUUAUCAAAUACUGAACACUUGCCUUAGCAGAGCAGGGCUGAGCAGGGAGCAGUGUUGGUGAACUGCUGAGACACGUUGUGUAGCAGCUGGAGGUUUUGUGAAGUGGAAGACACCAAAGUCAAACUCAAGUUCUGAGUGUAUUGAGAGGAAAAGAGCUGGGAAACAGACUCACCAGAAGGAAAAGCGCAGACACAGAGAGUGGAGAGUAUACGAUUCUCUUUCCUCUUUUGUGUUUUAAACCAUCAUUACCACAGCCUAUUGAUAGGGUUCUGCAUAAAACAUGAUUUCUGCUAGGUUUAUAUUAAAUAUGGUUGUUGAACAAAGCUUUCUUGAUUUUGCCUGUAAACCCUAUGAUUUAAAAGCAGUUGCUCACAAUUCUAAAAUGGAUUUAUUUUCAUGCUCUCACAAUGAUAUCAAAACUGUACUUUAACUGUAAAUGGAAAUAUAUAAGUAGCUGAAGUACUCAGAUUUCAUACUUAUGACUUAUUUUAGUUAUGAUAUACACAACUGUGCUGCAUAUAAUAUUAGUAAAUGCCUACUUAUGUGUUCCAUGUCACAGCUGCCUUUGUUAAUCAGAAAUUAAUAGAUUCAGAUGACAGUGUUUUGAUUAAUGCUACAUUUGCUGAUAAUACAUAGAAUAAAGCAUAGAAUAUUUGUAAACUCACUUUUUAAUAAGCUAAUCCAACUACAAAUCUGUUAAUGAGAAUUCUGAUAUAGCAAGCAGUGAGCUUUGGGGAAAGGUCAACCAAUGUGGGAAUAGAUUUAAAUCCUAGCUCUGACCUUCCUAAUUAUGUUACCUGGAGCAAGUAACUAAAUCUCACUCUGCCAGUUUCUCCACUUCACAGAUGUGAAAAGGUCUCUUGUGGGUUUUAGGGAUAAAAUAGGUAAUGAACUUAAGAGCUUUGCAUAGUGACUGAAACAUACUGUAAUUUAUCCCUUCUGAGACCUACACUGGUAUGGACAGUCCCCAACUUACAGUGGUUCAAAAUGAUUUCUGACUUUAUAAUGCCACGAAAGUAUACACAUUCAGUAGAAACCACUUUCGAAAAUACUUCGAAAUUGGAAUUUUGAUCUUGUUCUGAGCUAGCUGUGUGCAGUAAGGCACUCUUGUUUUGUUGGGCGGCAAGCUGCAGCUCCCAGUCAGCCCUGCGAUCACGAGGGUAAACAACCUUCAGGUCAAGUGUGUUUCCAGCUGAGUACAUGUGUGGUGAGUACCCAUAGCACAAUUCCGUUUUUCACUUUCAGUACAGUAUUCAAUAAAUUACAUAAGUAUUGAGCAUUUUAUUAUAAAGUAGGAUUUGUGUUAGAUGAUUUUGCCCAACUGUAGGCAAAUUUAAGUGUUCUGAGCAUGUUUAAGGUGCCUAAUUUAUAAAUUUACCUUUAUCAUAGCAGAUUUGUAAAUUCAGUAGAUAUGUGAAAUAAAAAUCAGCAGUUGCCUUGCCUUAUAUUUUGAUAGAUAAAUUGCUUAAGGAUUUAAAAUCCAUGCACAGUAUGGAUAAUAGAUACUGGAUUAGAAUUAAGGGAUUUAUUUAGUCUCCUUUUCUCAGAAAAUCAAGAUUACUUCAUGUCAAAACAGUGUUGUCAGAAAAUGUAAAUAGCAAAAGGCUUUACCUGAAACUUCAUUUGGAAAUGAAGACUCUCAUUUUCAAAAUAUAGUAUCAUUAUAAGAUAUGAUAUUGUGUACCUUUAUUUCUGAAAAUAAGCACCUUUACACAAAGCUAAACACCUUAAAUUAUAUUUAUAAAAUAUUACUUCGUGAAAGAAGCAAUGCUCAAAUAUGUGAUUAAUAUUUCCAUUCUUUGACUCACUUAAUUUUACGUUAAGUAUAUCAUGAAAUUAAAAAUGCAUUACUAUGAUAUAUUUGACAUACAUCAUAUUGAUACUAUUUGAAAACGGUCACUAUUUCAAAAGAGAAAGAUCACUUUUAGAGCAGUUGACACUUCCCCUACUCCAAAGAUACCAUAAACAACAAAAAAUAGUAGAUCAAUGUGUAGCACAUUAUUAUAAAUACAACAUUAUUCCAGUCAUUAUAUGUUUCUUAAUAAGAGCAAUGAGCCUAUUUCUGUGUUUGAUGUUGUCUGUUGCACUUUUUGAUUGCAUGGGUAACAAGUUUAUUUUACAACUGGUCUGUUUUUAAAAUAGAUAAUUCUGAUCUCGGCUACAUUUAAAAACAUUACUAAAUAGAUCCCAGAAAUGUUUUUUGAAAAGAAAACCUUUUUGGGGGUGUCUGUGUGUCUCUUUCAUUGCAUUGAAUAGGCAGCUACCUAAUCAGUUUAUUAGUUUGCAUGUGCCUCAUAUAAUAUAUGCUAAAUUGCCGAUUUCAGUCUUUAUCAGUGGAAUGGGGACGUGUCUAUACUUUGAGGAACUAUGGGAAAAAUAAAGAUGUUGAAAAUAAAUUUUUAAUUUAUUGAUGAUUAUAAAAAUGUGCAUUAUUUUUAGUUUUUGCCUUGAAUUUCCGUAAAGUUUUAAGGAACAGUACUUAUUUUUAACAAAACAUUUUUUUUCCUUGUUUUUUACUUGAGUCAUAUGACUUUAAUUGAAGGCACAAGGUAUCCUGGAGAUGAGGAGGGAUUUUGAAUUGGCAGAACUUACUAAAUUCCCACCUUUUUUUUUUUAACCCUAAAUUAUUCUCUUAUUUUUGAUGCAGGGUUUGUUUUAAUUAUCUCAAGAGAUUCUUGUGUUAAAUGAAAUACCCUCUGGAAUGUUACUUAGUACCUACCACUACAACUGUUACCACCGCCACCGUCACUACCGUCGCCACCACCACCACCACCAUCAUCACCAUCACCACUGCCACUGCUACUACUACUGACCACUAUUACAGUAUCAUUUGCGAGACUUCCUGCUGUGUGUUUUACCUUAAGAAGCUUAUAUAAUACUUUAUUUUAUUUUAUGUUUCCAUCCUUUCACUCUAAGGCAAUUAUAUAAUACUUUAAAUAGCCAUUAUAUACAUAAGGAAACUGGAGUGAAAGAAGAAUCAGCUCUUCAAGAUUAUACAACUAGCAUAUAUAACAUUCAGGAAUUUUAGUUACUGUUUAUUUUUUACUGUAUUAUACUUUUGUUACUAAUUAAAUUGAGUAUGUUUUAAUUAU
RNAcentral lists this long non-coding RNA (19853 nucleotides) under Homo sapiens (human). RNAcentral's name for it is "HSALNT0319883". Lineage: Eukaryota; Metazoa; Chordata; Mammalia; Primates; Hominidae. The record is from RNAcentral.